AAUGAUGAGAUUGCUCUGAAGGGAGGAUGGCAGUGAGGAUUGUCGAUGAAUCGGAUCAGAUCUGGGGAUAAUUCGGUGGGGAAAUAGUAGAAGAAUUAGAGAGAAGAGAGGUGGGUUCCUGCUCUCGCGUCCCACUGAGUCCAGUGGACAUCUAUUUUACGCCAACAUGACUCGGACUUGUCCCGACACUUUCCAGAGAUGUCGACAAGUCUCAAAUGCUGAACUCC
This 227-nucleotide long non-coding RNA is filed under the name Ananas comosus (pineapple). RNAcentral's name for it is "long non-coding RNA (ACOM_LNC027673)". The record is from RNAcentral. Lineage: Eukaryota; Viridiplantae; Streptophyta; Magnoliopsida; Poales; Bromeliaceae.